GGGAAAAAUACAUGUAUCUCGGCUACUAUAUAGAUGCUACAAAUAAAUCAGCAUCACAGGGGGAGAAAGGAGAAAUAACGGAGUUGUGCUAUCGAUGUUGAGUGGCUAAGAAUAGCGGACACCUUCGUCACCAUCACCAUCAUCAUCAUCGCGUAUUAUUCUUGAAUUAGGUCCACUGCUAAUCCUGAACGAGUAAAAUAAAGUCCGAGAUCAGCUGAUUGGGGCUUGUAGCCCGAGAUGAGUCUGAGUGAGCAUCGUGAGGGGUGAAAGGAAAAUGCUUUGUCCCUGAACCUGUUUUUGAUGGCAGUUUGGCAGCGUUAGCAAGACAACGAGGUCUUUGGUUGGUUUCUGUUCUGGGUUUAACGAGUGAGUGUUUGUUUUUAAAAAAUAAAAUUCUCCAUACAAUCAUCCAUACAAGAUGGAAUUAGUAAUGUUGAUUAAAAAAACAUAAAGUGGAAAAGACAGCAGACCUCCACAAGCUAUAGGAUUGAUAGUAAGCUAACAAGCUAGUUAGCAUAGUUUCAGCAUGGUUUCUUCCGAACUUUGAUCGACUGCUGGUUGAACAUACAGCAAGAACAAGAACAAUUUAACUGGCUGUUUUUGGAUUUUAUGCCGCCUGAGUGCUGUUGUGUUCACUAAAAUGAAGUACAGCUAUGAAUAGCUAUACAUUUCACAUCAAGCUAGUUAGUCAUUUAGUUAGUUAGCAAGCACUGACCUUUACAUUUUUUUAGAGUAUGACUAGAUGGCUGAUGGGAAGAAUGAAAUCACAAGAAUUAUUUUCUCCACCAUUCCCGAUUUUUAUGCCAGUCUGAGUGCCAUUAGGUAGCAAAGAAAUUAGCUAACGUGGAAGCUAGAGGUUAGCUAGCUAGCAUAAUUGAAUAGCAUAGUUUCUGGAGGUCUGGAUGUUCCAUGACUAUGCAAAUAACAGGCAAAAUUAUUGGAACAAGGUUUUUUAUGCCACUCUUCCUUAUAUAUCUAAAGAAAUAAACGAUUAAGAAUGUCAAAGACGGCACCUCCUCAGCUCCCACACACACACACACACACACACACACACACACACAGUCUUAUUUCUUUAAGCUACACUAGCAUGCCUAGUUAGUCCUUCUGGUUUAAUCCAAUGACGGACUGUACAUAUGGCCAUGGGGGAGGGGAGAUAUGAACAGAAUGGAGGGUGAGCGUGUGGUGUGUGUGUGUGUGUGUGUGUGUGUGUGGUAAAAAUAAUCUUGUGUGGCUCCACACAUCAUCACUGGCUCAUUUCAUGCUGACAGAUCGGUCCUACGUGACUGGAGUCCUGUAUUUGUGUUGUGUGUGUGUGUGUGUGUGUGUGUGUGUGUGUGUGUGUGUGUGUGUUUGUGUAUGCAUGUAGGUGGCAUUAUGUUAUAUCACUGUAUGCAUAAAAGCAAACCGGUGCGAGCAGUGUGGACAUAAAGGGACGGAAAAAACACACAAAAACCCCCAGGUGCUUGGCAGUGUAUAAACUAGACAGCUAAAAUCAACAAACACACACACACAAUCUCCAGGUGAUAAUCUGGUCCCUUUUCCACAUGCAAAAAAAUGACAAAUAUACUCUAUUUCUACAUAUAAACAUAAAAUCUAAAUAAUAAAAUUUCAAGAAAGAAACAACAACAAAAAAAGCAUGCCAUUUAGAAAUAAUGCGAGCAGUGUGCUUUCAAUUUUGCUGGCAGCUCGGCUGUACUUUCAAAUUAUUAUUAUUACUAUUUUCUGUUUAAAAGCGCCAUCAAAAACGAGGUUCUUGUGCAUGCUGAUUCCCCUUUAAUCUUAUCGGCCACGUGCGUCCGCUGUUUUCACCAAUUACAGACUGUUUGUAAAAUAUUCCUGUAUGCAUUUCAGUUGUGUAGACAGCAUCGUUCUACCCUGCAAUAAAGGAAUGUUUAAGAGAUAGACACUACAGACUUAAUAAAAUAUAAA
This is a long non-coding RNA of Ictalurus punctatus (channel catfish), 1929 nucleotides long. Lineage: Eukaryota; Metazoa; Chordata; Actinopteri; Siluriformes; Ictaluridae. The record is from Ensembl.